RNAcentral lists this ribosomal RNA (467 nucleotides) under uncultured bacterium. RNAcentral's name for it is "partial 16S ribosomal RNA". It matches the Rfam family "Bacterial small subunit ribosomal RNA", at positions 29 to 507 of the family's 1533-position model. The record is from RNAcentral.
ACGAACGCUGGCGGCGUGCUUCACCCAUGCAAGUCGAACGGAAAGGCCCUGCUUUUGUGGGGUGCUCGAGUGGCGAACGGGUGAGUAACACGUGAGUAACCUGCCCUUGACUUUGGGAUAACUUCAGGAAACUGGGGCUAAUACCGGAUAGGAGCUCCUGCUGCAUGGUGGGGGUUGGAAAGUUUCGGCGGUUGGGGAUGGACUCGCGGCUUAUCAGCUUGUUGGUGGGGUAGUGGCUUACCAAGGCUUUGACGGGUAGCCGGCCUGAGAGGGUGACCGGCGACAUUGGGACUGAGAUACGGCCCAGACUCCUACGGGAGGCAGCAGUGGGGAAUAUUGCACAAUGGGCGGAAGCCUGAUGCAGCAACGCCGCGUGCGGGAUGACGGCCUUCGGGUUGUAAACCGCUUUCGCCUGUGACGAAGCGUGAGUGACGGUAAUGGGUAAAGAAGCACCGGCUAACUACGUG